RNAcentral lists this small RNA (72 nucleotides) under Pseudomonas cichorii. RNAcentral describes it as "Pseudomonas sRNA P10". It matches the Rfam family "Pseudomonas sRNA P10". The record is from RNAcentral. Lineage: Bacteria; Pseudomonadati; Pseudomonadota; Gammaproteobacteria; Pseudomonadales; Pseudomonadaceae.
CCUUGGCGACCCCACCAGCUGCCCACUGCCUGGGCACGGCACCAACCCGAUCGCCAGCGGCUCCCCCGAUGU